This 706-nucleotide long non-coding RNA is filed under the name Dermacentor andersoni. Its description in RNAcentral is "uncharacterized LOC126534946". Lineage: Eukaryota; Metazoa; Arthropoda; Arachnida; Ixodida; Ixodidae. The record is from RNAcentral.
AUGACGCACAUUUUAGUGAAAUGCCUUAACGACGAUAAGUGGGACGUUUAUCCGUUGAAGUGGUUGGCUCACCCAGCUACUACUCUUCAACUGAUGUGCGAGCCUGGUUGUUUUGAUGAGUUGCGCGGCACAGGUCAUGAUGCCUGUUGGAGAGAAGGCACCGCGAAACAGUCGCAGCCGCACUUCUGAAGAUAGGUUACGCAUGCAGCAAAUUCCCAGGUGCUAAAGUGUUCUACGCCAAAAGCACCUUGGCGUCGUGCAAGAGACACCCGUUGACAUGUGGCUGAUUCACUAGCAAGCUUGCAUCUCUGUUGCCACUCUCCAUCAAGUGGGAUUUUCAACUAUUUCUUGUGCUGCUCUGUGGUGUACUAGCUGCCGCAUGGACGCUGUGAAGGCUUACUUUCGAUUUGCUCUGGCAUUUAGUAGUAAAGGAUGGGCUACCUUAUGAGGGGAGGCAUUUACUUUUGUUUGUGAGAAUGUUUACCAGCCUAACCAAGUGAUACGUGCGUACCGUAAACAGCAGCAAGAACACAGGCGGACGACGGACGACGAAAUAGGUAGGAGCACAAACGAGCGCAAGCUCUACUAAAAGUUUACUUUUGAUGACAGAGGUAUUAAACACACUGGUCAACUUGACAAAGGUAAAAAUCCGUGCAUGCGUGGCAGAAACAGCCACGUGCGACAAGAAAAAAAUAUGAAAAAGCCA